This 3901-nucleotide long non-coding RNA is filed under the name Pomacea canaliculata. RNAcentral's name for it is "uncharacterized LOC112566748". The record is from RNAcentral. Lineage: Eukaryota; Metazoa; Mollusca; Gastropoda; Architaenioglossa; Ampullariidae.
UAUUAAUGCUUUGUGAUAAAAAAGGACAGUGAGAGAAGAUAGCUAGCCUAACCAUUAAAAAUAGUUUCGUAAAUUUCGGUUUAUUAAGCGCACCUGCAUAAUAAUCCGCAGUCACUAAAUUUUUCAAAGUGUCUUCUUUUUUCACAAAUAAGCCGCACUGGUUUAUAAACCACAAAUAUAUACGGCAAAUUCUUUCAAACUCUUUAAAUUAGUAUAAACACAAAGUGAAGUAUAAAAUUAAAACGGGGUAAAUAAAUAUGAACAAAUUUAAUUCAUGAGAAGUAUAUUUAAAUCUUAAGCAAACCAAAUAGAUAAAUUAACAACAGAAUACUAAGCUUAAAAAAAAAAAAAAUGAACAGUGCAACAUAGGGAUCUGGCGACUAGCACGUCACCACCUGAACCCAGCCAACAGGUAACAAAUAAAAUCGACACCCGCAGCAUAACAGAAAGGCGAUUCACACCUGAACUAAGUUUCCCCCUUACCACGCUCAUCCCUUUUUCCAUGUAAAUCACAGACCCAACCACUACCUUCACAAUGCGAAAUCGCCUUUUGGUGGAAGUUUUUUUUACCCUCCUAACUCGACAACAAUAAACAGAUGAGUGUGAUAGUGUUGCGCGCACGUGGGUGUGACAUCACACUUGUUCGAGUGUUUGUCGGAGAAAUCUUUGACUUUUUACGUAUACGUAUGCUUGACCUGUCUGUCUGUCUGUCCGUCCGUCUUUCUGUCUGUCUCUCUCUCUCACACACACACACACACUUCUACGAGUGGUGUAAGAAUUUAGGUGACUAUAAUAUAUAUGGUUACGUACGGGUUUUGACAUGUUUCUAAUGUGGUGUACACAGACAUUUCAAGAAGCUCCGCCUUUUUUUUCCAGAUUUUAUUUGUGCCGCUGUCAAGCAAUAGUAGAUGAUAUGUAAAAGGGAGAGAGAGAGAGCCCAAGAUAAUCUUCGGCUUACUAUUGCACGGUACAAGGAGGCCGCCAUGUUUUGUUGCCAUCAUGGAGACGUGAGUCAGACGCUCACGUCCAUUCUCGUCAAGUAUAGUUGUCGAAGCCCUACAUCUGAAGAUCUUGCUGUAGGUUUCGAACAUGACUAUCACCAAACAAGAAAACAAGUAGAGCAAAGAGAAUAGGCCAGUUUCCUCCAAGCGGUAUGUGACGAAGCAGUGAAGAGGAAUUGACAGUGAGUAUAAAAGAGGAGAAGGAAGCUGUCACUUUGAAUGACCAGUAAGUCUGCUUGCAGUGGAUCUUUUCCAUACACAAGAAUUUUCUUACCUGAGGCGCUUUAGAACUUUGGCAGUUGCCAACUGUGAUAGAAAACUGAGCGCAGUGCGCACACCUCACGAUUUUAGAAGACUUAGUCGGGGAAAAAAGUCAGCCACAACAAAAGAAAUAUUGUGCCGCCAGCCUCAGGUGGUGGCCAGACUCAUACACGGAACACAAAAUACAGAUACCGGAUCACAGCGGCCUGUUCACACAGACAACAGCAGGAGGAAUGUUCGCACCGGCAAAUCCUUGAGAGACGGCGUCCUCACAAGACGGAAGUUGCAGUUGGAAGGAUUUCGAUAUGUAUUCAUCAUAAAAUCCGACGACACUCAGCGAAACUAAGUGGCACAGAACUUCAGAUAAUCAAGACAAAUAACUCAGCAAAUUUGGCCAAUACUCAAGGAAUGGAUUUUAGAUACCAACCGAAUCCACUGAGAGCCAUAUUUUUUUUAUCCACACAGACAUUUUUUUUUUAAUUUUCAAGAAUGGAGUCUGAGAACUAUCUGUGAGGGUUGCUUCUGCUUCACAAUUUUUAUUUUUUUGUUGAUUUACAACAAAGCUAUCAGCGCAAUGACGACGUGGCAGAAGAGCUUUGUGGGCUCAGACAAGGCCGAGCUGCCAGUUAAACUAGAUUACAGCGACACCUACAGAGAAAACGACCAGCUCGACCUUGAUCUUUUCGAGCACUUGGCAGAGCUUCAUCGUGCACAGAGGCGGAGACUAAUGCGACAGAGACGAGGAACUGGAAGUGGCCCGAGCCAGUGCUGACAAGAUCCUCCGACUCAAGACAACGGUGAGCAGUCGAGAAGGCGAGUCCUCCAACGACGUUUUCCCGCAGGAGAUGCGCGCGCCACAGAGGAAGCACAGCGUGUCGGAGAGCGAGGACGAGGCUGGGGCAACAACUGUUCUCGUCAAGUCCACGUCGUCGGACCGAAGGAUCGCCAAGGAGAGGGACCGUUACAGUGCCAAGAACUUGUUCAAUGUGGUCAGACGGCGAGGCAGCAAGCCCUGCUUGGGAGAGGGCAACAACGCGACCACCAUCAAGAUGGCCAUGGACUCGCCCAACGGUCUGCGGACAGCAUCCGCCCCGACCGCGUGCCGACAGCAGGUCGUCCAGACUGUCGUCCAGCCGCACAGCCGGCCAGGCAGUUACCGGGCGCCAGCAGACUGUGGCUAUGUUGCCGCCGCGGCGUCGUCAUUAAACGCGCGGCGUGCCACUUCCGCUCCGCCUGGAAGUUUCUCCAAACGACUCUACGGCAACUCCGACGGAACAAUGGUGCGCCGUCCACGUUCGAGGCGUGAGCUUGAAAGGUUGUGCAGUUUGAAGAUCGAUCCGUUUGAGGAAGUGUCCGUUUACUCACAACGGACUUCAAAUGGCAACUCAAAAACGGAAGUGCUGGAGAACUUGCGCAAACACAAUUCGGAAUUGCAAUCGAAAGUAUCUGAUUUCAUUAAACAGCUGGAGAUCUUCAACAAGAAAGGUAGAAAAUCGCGGUUAGAUCAUAUAUUGGAAGAAAACUAACCUUUUCAAAACUGACAAUUGUAAUAAUUGUUUUUCCUUCUUUCAAAGUCUUCAUCCAAUUCCUUCUUCACCUUCUACUUUUUAAAAAAUCCUUAUUAGAAAAGUGAGCCCAGAGUGGUAUACUUUUCUCUUACCUUCGCACAUUCACAAGCAUACUCAUGACAAAGAAUAGAUACGAAGUCUUUUGAGAUUAAACACAAAGGAAAGUUUCUAAUUCUUUUAGAAAAAAAAAAACCAUGACACAAUGAUACCGAAAAUGGUAUUAGCUGAUCCCAGCUCAUCUGCAGCUCAUAGCGAUACAAACGAUGCGCGUGGUGGUUGGCGGUGGCGCAGUCUGUAACCACGGCAAAGGAAAUCAGGAUCGUGAGGUCGAAUCUCAUCUCUACAAUAGCUCUUUUUUUUAUGUAACAUCUUACACGGCUGACUGUCGAUGGUUCGCUCCAGGUACCCACUCUGCGUGUGCCUGGGUGUAUGUAAUGGUUUUGAAAACUUGGUAUGUGCUCGGCGUGGUAGGAAUGUGUUCUCUCUCUUUCUAUAUACAUGUAUAUAUAAUCUUAUGUAUGUAUCCCCUCCUUCACUGCGUAAUUCAGCUUACAACCCUCUAAAUGUCUUGUUUCGUGCUUAAAAAAAAAGUCAAAGCUUUGAAUUUUUUUUAAUGAUUUUAAUUAUGUUGAGCAACUCUUUAUUGACUAAAGAAAUUCUACAUAGAACUAAUGAAAAUUUAUCCCAAAUUAAAGAAAUAAAACAUUUGUACAGACUGUUCAAGGUGUAACAGCGAUCAUCUCUUAAUGAGCAGACAUAAAGGGCCUUCCAAGUUUACAGGAAAAUAGUCAUAGGAGAAAUUCUGGAUAAGGUGUGGUCCUUUCUAGCUCUUAAUUGUACAGAAAAAUUUAUUAAAAAAUCUUUCUGAAACUGUUAGUAAUGCUAAAGUAUGAAUAUUAGUAUCAAUAGUUAACAAUUAUUUUAAACAAGAAACAUCUUAACCACGUAUGUUCGGGAAGUAGGAGCGGGGUGGAACAUUUAUCAGCAUUCUAAAACCAGUGGCAUACUUACUACCUUCAUGCUUUGUCUUUACCUCUGUGUUUACUUCCACAAGCUACUCAUUCCAAGAUA